AUGUUGUUAGUAUAAUUUAUUAUAUCAUUUUUCCAAAGUGAUGAUCUAGAUUUUAGGCAACAUA
This 64-nucleotide transfer RNA is filed under the name Mesocestoides corti. Its description in RNAcentral is "tRNA-Gly". RNAcentral also lists the same sequence under 1 other name. The record is from RNAcentral. Lineage: Eukaryota; Metazoa; Platyhelminthes; Cestoda; Cyclophyllidea; Mesocestoididae.